RNAcentral lists this ribosomal RNA (465 nucleotides) under uncultured Weissella sp. RNAcentral's name for it is "bacterial SSU rRNA". It matches the Rfam family "Bacterial small subunit ribosomal RNA", at positions 338 to 795 of the family's 1533-position model. Lineage: Bacteria; Bacillati; Bacillota; Bacilli; Lactobacillales; Lactobacillaceae. The record is from RNAcentral.
CCUACGGGAGGCUGCAGUAGGGAAUCUUCCACAAUGGACGAAAGUCUGAUGGAGCAACGCCGCGUGUGUGAUGAAGGGUUUCGGCUCGUAAAACACUGUUGUAAGAGAAGAAUAGCAUCAAGAGUAACUGCUUGGUGUGUGACGGUAUCUUACCAGAAAGGAACGGCUAAAUACGUGCCAGCAGCCGCGGUAAUACGUAUGUUCCAAGCGUUAUCCGGAUUUAUUGGGCGUAAAGCGAGCGCAGACGGUUUUUUAAGUCCGAAGUGAAAGCCCACAGCUUAACUGUGGAAGUGCUUUGGAAACUGGAUGACUUGAGUGCAGUAGAGGAGAGUGGAAUUCCAUGUGUAGCGGUGAAAUGCGUAGAUAUAUGGAGGAACACCAGUGGCGAAGGCGGCUCGCUGGACUGUAACUGACGUUGAGGCUCGAAAGUGUGGGUAGCAAACAGGAUUAGAUACCCCAGUAGUC